This 615-nucleotide ribosomal RNA is filed under the name Enterocytozoon bieneusi. RNAcentral's name for it is "SSU rRNA". It matches the Rfam family "Microsporidia small subunit ribosomal RNA", at positions 290 to 910 of the family's 1311-position model. The record is from RNAcentral. Lineage: Eukaryota; Fungi; Microsporidia; Enterocytozoonidae.
UUUUUGAAAACCAUUGUCACUCCUUAUGGGGGAGACAGUCAUGAGACGUGAGUAUAAGACCUGAGUGUAAAGACCUUAGGGUGAAGCAAUUGGAGGGCAAGCUUUGGUGCCAGCAGCCGCGGUAACUCCAACUCCAAGAGUGUCUAUGGUGGAUGCUGCAGUUAAAGGGUCCGUAGUCGUGAAAGCAAUUAAAUGUCGUUGUUCAAUAGCGAUGAGUUUGCUAAUGUUUGCGGAACGGAUAGGGAGUGUAGUAUAGACUGGCGAAGAAUGAAAUCUCAAGACCCAGUUUGGACUAACGGAGGCGAAGGCGACACUCUUAGACGUAUCUUAGGAUCAAGGACGAAGGCAGGAGUAUCGAAAGUGAUUAGACACCGCUGUAGUUCCUGCAGUAAACUAUGCCGACAGCCUGUGUGUGAGAAUACGUGGGCGGGAGAAAUCUUAGUGUUCGGGCUCCGGGGAUAGUACGCUCGCAAGGGUGAAACUUAAAGCGAAAUUGACGGAAGGACACUACCAGGAGUGGAUUGUGCUGCUUAAUUUAACUCAACGCGGGAAAACUUACCAGGGUCAAGUCAUUCGUUGAUCGAAUACGUGAGAGUGGCGGGGGGGCAAAAGGGG